AGUGAACGCUGGCGGCGUGCUUAACACAUGCAAGUCGAACGAGAACGGAAUAUAGCUUGCUAUAUUUGUCAGCUAAGUGGCGCACGGGUGAGUAAUGUAUAGAUAACCUGCCCUUAAGAAAGGAAUAACAGUUGGAAACGACUGCUAAUGCCCUAUAUGCCUUUAAUACAUAAGUAUGCAAGGGAAACGCUUUAGUGCUUAAGGAUGGGUCUGUAUGGUAUCAGCUUGUUGGUGAGGCAAUGGCUCACCAAGGCUAUGACGCCUAACUGGUUUGAGAGGAUGAUCAGUCACACUGGAACUGAGACACGGUCCAGACUCCUACGGGAGGCAGCAGUGGGGAAUAUUGCACAAUGGACGAAAGUCUGAUGCAGCAACGCCGCGUGGAGGAUGACACAUUUCGGUGCGUAAACUCCUCUUAUAUAGGAAGAUAAUGACGGUACUAUAUGAAUAAGCACCGGCUAACUCCGUGCCAGCCGCCGCGGUAA
This 485-nucleotide ribosomal RNA is filed under the name uncultured bacterium. RNAcentral's name for it is "partial 16S ribosomal RNA". It matches the Rfam family "Bacterial small subunit ribosomal RNA", at positions 29 to 523 of the family's 1533-position model. The record is from RNAcentral.